CAUNCUCAGAAACGAACGCUGGCGGCGUGGAUAAGACAUGCAAGUCGUGCGACAGACCAGGAAUUGAUUACUUCGGUUUGAUUUUCCUGACGAUGAGCGGCGAAYGGGUGCGUAACAYGUGAGAAAUCUGCCCUURAGUUCGGGAUAGCCCUACGAAAGUAGAAUUAAUACCGGAUGUGGCCCAGGGAGGGCAUCUUCCCCUGGCUAAAGYUCGGUUAUAGAGCGCUUUUGGAUGAUCUCGCGGUCUAUCAGCUUGUUGGUGAGGUAACGGCUCACCRAGGCUCUGACGGAUAGCUGGUCUGAGAGGAUGAUCASUCACACUGGAACUGASACACGGUCCAGACWMMUACGGGUGGCAGCAGUCGAGAAUCAUUCACAAUGGGCGCAAGCCUGAUGGUGCGACGCCGCGUGGGGGAUGAAGGGCUUCGGUUCRWAWMYCCCUGUCAUCUGUGAGUAAGGCUCCCAAUAAAAGCUUGGGAGAUUGAUAUUAGCAGAAGAGGAAGGGACGGCUAACUCAGUGCCAGCAGCCGCGGUAAUACUGAGGUCCCAAGCGUUGUUCGGAUUUACUGGGCGUAAAGGGUGCGUAGGCGGCUAUAAAAGUUUGGUGUGAAAUCUCCGGGCUCAACCCGGAAACUGCAUUGAAAACUAGAUAGCUAGAGGAUCGGAGAGGAGAUUGGAAUUCUCAGUGUAGCAGUGAAAUGCGUAGAUAUUGAGAGGAACACCAGUUGCGAAGGCGGAUCUCUGGACGGUUUCUGACGCUGAGGCACGAAAGCUGGGGUAGCGAAGAGGAUUAGAUACCCUCGUAGUCCCAGCCGUAAACGGUGCGCACUUGCUGUGGGCGGAUUCGACCCCGUCUGUGGCGAAGCUAACGCGAUAAGUGCGCCGCCUGGGGAGUACGGUCGCAAGAUUAAACUNA
This 916-nucleotide ribosomal RNA is filed under the name uncultured Verrucomicrobiales bacterium. RNAcentral describes it as "SSU rRNA". It matches the Rfam family "Bacterial small subunit ribosomal RNA", at positions 19 to 903 of the family's 1533-position model. The record is from RNAcentral. Lineage: Bacteria; Pseudomonadati; Verrucomicrobiota; Verrucomicrobiia; Verrucomicrobiales.